GGUUAAGCGACUAAGCGUACACGGUGGAUGCCCUGGCAGUCAGAGGCGAUGAAGGACGUGCUAAUCUGCGAUAAGCGUCGGUAAGGUGAUAUGAACCGUUAUAACCGGCGAUUUCCGAAUGGGGAAACCCAGUGUGUUUCGACACACUAUCAUUAACUGAAUCCAUAGGUUAAUGAGGCGAACCGGGGGAACUGAAACAUCUAAGUACCCCGAGGAAAAGAAAUCAACCGAGAUUCCCCCAGUAGCGGCGAGCGAACGGGGAGCAGCCCAGAGCCUGAAUCAGUGUGUGUGUUAGUGGAAGCGUCUGGAAAGGCGCGCGAUACAGGGUGACAGCCCCGUACACAAAAAUGCACAUGCUGUGAGCUCGAUGAGUAGGGCGGGACACGUGGUAUCCUGUCUGAAUAUGGGGGGACCAUCCUCCCAAGGCUAAAUACUCCUGACUGACCGAUAGUGAACCAGUACCGUGAGGGAAAGGCGAAAAGAACCCCGGCGAGGGGAGUGAAAAAGAACCUGAAACCGUGUACGUACAAGCAGUGGGAGCACGCUUAGGCGUGUGACUGCGUACCUUUUGUAUAAUGGGUCAGCGACUUAUAUUCUGUAGCAAGGUUAACCGAAUAGGGGAGCCGAAGGGAAACCGAGUCUUAACUGGGCGUUAAGUUGCAGGGUAUAGACCCGAAACCCGGUGAUCUAGCCAUGGGCAGGUUGAAGGUUGGGUAACACUAACUGGAGGACCGAACCGACUAAUGUUGAAAAAUUAGCGGAUGACUUGUGGCUGGGGGUGAAAGGCCAAUCAAACCGGGAGAUAGCUGGUUCUCCCCGAAAGCUAUUUAGGUAGCGCCUCGUGAAUUCAUCUCCGGGGGUAGAGCACUGUUUCGGCAAGGGGGUCAUCCCGACUUACCAACCCGAUGCAAACUGCGAAUACCGGAGAAUGUUAUCACGGGAGACACACGGCGGGUGCUAACGUCCGUCGUGAAGAGGGAAACAACCCAGACCGCCAGCUAAGGUCCCAAAGUCAUGGUUAAGUGGGAAACGAUGUGGGAAGGCCCAGACAGCCAGGAUGUUGGCUUAGAAGCAGCCAUCAUUUAAAGAAAGCGUAAUAGCUCACUGGUCGAGUCGGCCUGCGCGGAAGAUGUAACGGGGCUAAACCAUGCACCGAAGCUGCGGCAGCGACGCUGAUGCGUUGUUGGGUAGGGGAGCGUUCUGUAAGCCUGCGAAGGUGUGCUGUGAGGCAUGCUGGAGGUAUCAGAAGUGCGAAUGCUGACAUAAGUAACGAUAAAGCGGGUGAAAAGCCCGCUCGCCGGAAGACCAAGGGUUCCUGUCCAACGUUAAUCGGGGCAGGGUGAGUCGACCCCUAAGGCGAGGCCGAAAGGCGUAGUCGAUGGGAAACAGGUUAAUAUUCCUGUACUUGGUGUUACUGCGAAGGGGGGACGGAGAAGGCUAUGUUGGUACGGGCGACGGUUGUCCCGGUUUAAGCGUGUAGGCUGGUUUUCCAGGCAAAUCCGGAAAAUCAAGGCUGAGGCGUGAUGACGAGGCACUACGGUGCUGAAGCAACAAAUGCCCUGCUUCCAGGAAAAGCCUCUAAGCAUCAGGUAACAUCAAAUCGUACCCCAAACCGACACAGGUGGUCAGGUAGAGAAUACCAAGGCGCUUGAGAGAACUCGGGUGAAGGAACUAGGCAAAAUGGUGCCGUAACUUCGGGAGAAGGCACGCUGAUAUGUAGGUGAAGUCCCUCGCGGAUGGAGCUGAAAUCAGUCGAAGAUACCAGCUGGCUGCAACUGUUUAUUAAAAACACAGCACUGUGCAAACACGAAAGUGGACGUAUACGGUGUGACGCCUGCCCGGUGCCGGAAGGUUAAUUGAUGGGGUUAGCCGCAAGGCGAAGCUCUUGAUCGAAGCCCCGGUAAACGGCGGUACCGUAACUAUAACGGUCCUAAGGUAGCGAAAUUCCUUGUCGGGUAAGUUCCGACCUGCACGAAUGGCGUAAUGAUGGCCAGGCUGUCUCCACCCGAGACUCAGUGAAAUUGAACUCGCUGUGAAGAUGCAGUGUACCCGCGGCAAGACGGAAAGACCCCGUGAACCUUUACUAUAGCUUGACACUGAACAUUGAGCCUUGAUGUGUAGGAUAGGUGGGAGGCUUUGAAGUGUGGACGCCAGUCUGCAUGGAGCCGACCUUGAAAUACCACCCUUUAAUGUUUGAUGUUCUAACGUUGACCCGUAAUCCGGGUUGCGGACAGUGUCUGGUGGGUAGUUUGACUGGGGCGGUCUCCUCCUAAAGAGUAACGGAGGAGCACGAAGGUUGGCUAAUCCUGGUCGGACAUCAGGAGGUUAGUGCAAUGGCAUAAGCCAGCUUGACUGCGAGCGUGACGGCGCGAGCAGGUGCGAAAGCAGGUCAUAGUGAUCCGGUGGUUCUGAAUGGAAGGGCCAUCGCUCAACGGAUAAAAGGUACUCCGGGGAUAACAGGCUGAUACCGCCCAAGAGUUCAUAUCGACGGCGGUGUUUGGCACCUCGAUGUCGGCUCAUCACAUCCUGGGGCUGAAGUAGGUCCCAAGGGUAUGGCUGUUCGCCAUUUAAAGUGGUACGCGAGCUGGGUUUAGAACGUCGUGAGACAGUUCGGUCCCUAUCUGCCGUGGGCGCUGGAGAACUGAGGGGGCUGCUCCUAGUACGAGAGGACCGGAGUGGACGCAUCACUGGUGUUCGGGUUGUCAUGCCAAUGGCACUGCCCGGUAGCUAAAUGCGGAAGAGAUAAGUGCUGAAAGCAUCUAAGCACGAAACUUGCCCCGAGAUGAGUUCUCCCUGACCCUUUAAGGGUCCUGAAGGAACGUUGAAGACGACGACGUUGAUAGGCCGGGUGUGUAAGCGCAGCGAUGCGUUGAGCUAACCGGUACUAAUGAACCGUGAGGCUUAACCUU
Molecule: ribosomal RNA, 2909 nt
Filed under: Escherichia coli
Lineage: Bacteria; Pseudomonadati; Pseudomonadota; Gammaproteobacteria; Enterobacterales; Enterobacteriaceae
Description: 23S ribosomal RNA
Rfam family: Bacterial large subunit ribosomal RNA
Source: RNAcentral